This is a non-coding RNA of Benincasa hispida (wax gourd), 2283 nucleotides long. The record is from RefSeq and is a predicted model, not a curated record. NCBI's taxonomy places the organism in Eukaryota, Viridiplantae, Streptophyta, Magnoliopsida, Cucurbitales, Cucurbitaceae.
CAUUGAGCUACUGCUAGUUGAGAUAUAGUUGAGUUUGUAACUUUCAUACUUUAUCUGCGCUUGUACAACUAAUUUGUUCUAAAAUGCUCGAAUGGGUCUUCAUAUGGUUAAGCAAGGACACUCGCUGCAACUACAAGCAAUGAGUCUUCUUCAUAUUCAGCUCUCAGGGCUCUGUCUCCCCACCGCUCCUGCAAUCUUGCCCCACCUUUUUUACUGCCGAAGCGGACCAUCCCCACCAUCUCUCUCGCCUUCAACUUCUCUUUCUUCGUCGCACCCCACAAUUCAUUUAACACACAUUCAAAUCGCCUUCUCAUUUGUACAAAAUAUUUGGGUGCUAUCUUUUUCUUUAGUUUCAUUCUCUUAUACUGCUUACGCCUUCCACAAUCGUUCUUGUUUUUUUUAUAGAACUUAUUUUUAGUAGUAAUUGAACCAAGUUGUGAAAUUGUACAAUGUUUUAGAUUGUAGGAGUAAAAACAUCAAAUUUCUUUGGAUUAGUAGAUUUGACUCACCAUUUCUUUUUAAUGUGUUUAUUUUAUCGAAGUGUUUAGGAGAUUUGACAUGACUAAUUUCAGUUCUUAAUUGGAUUAGUAUACAUUCAUAACUAUUACUACUCUUACUAUAUUGUCAUAGAAGUAAUGAAAAAUCCGAAGGCUGUAAGUUGUUUGGCUAAGGUCUGAGUGAGGUUGGGAAAAAAGGAAAAUUUAGUAGAUAAUGAGAUAGAGGGAAAGAGGUGCUUGGCUGGGGUAUUUUUGGUAGGUAUUAGGAUGGGGUGGGUAUUGAAAAGCCUGUCUGGUGUGUGGAGAAAGGAAGAGAUCAUGGCUGUGGUUUUUGUGCGGAUAAAAGAGGGUUGUUCGUUGGGAAUCGUAAAGUAAGUGCAAGUAGGAUAGCAGCACAUUGAACAGGAGGUGCUGCGGGAGGGAGAUUUGAUAAAGGGCUUGAAAGAGAGGGAGGGCUUCUCUGUAUUGUUACUAUAGUCGUGCUUCUAGAGCUUUUCGUUGGCAAUCGAAGGAAGAAGUGCUAAAUGGGACACUAUGCUGGAGGAAGACACUUUGUUUGAAGCUUCUUGAAUACCUGAAGCUCUAGUACGUGUGUACUAUAAAGAGAAGGCAAAGAAAUGAGUGUUGAUCAAAAAGAGAAAAAGCUCUCCGCACACGUUGUCUGAGAGUAAAAGAAUGCAUUUAAAGCAAUGUAUAACAAUGUGUGAACUGCUUAGAAGUAUAUACAACAAAGUAAUAAGGAAAAGGGGUAAAGAUACACACAAUUAGCACGAUAACAGGGACUGCAGUGAAAUUUAACAAUAUUAUAGAUAUAGUUCAACAACUAUUAGAGUUGCUUUAACUCGCUGCAUUUUAGUGUAUGCUACACUCAUAUUUUUACUAAAGGCCGAAGUGCUUUUUAUUUCAUCACUCAAAGAUUAUCUGACCAUAAUCUUUUCUUUUAUUUACAAUUUAUUCAUCAUUUUCAUGAUUAGAUGGAUGCAUGGCUUGGUAAUAGGAGAAGAAUAUUGGUAUUGAAUAGAGAAGAUAUGAUAUCUUCAGCAGAUCGGAAUGCUUGGGCAGCUUAUUUUACGAGACAGGGAAUAAAAGUAGUAUUUUCGAAUGGGCAACUUGGAAUGGGCACAAUGAAGCUAGGGCGGUUGGCCAAGACAUUAGCGGCAGAUGUCAAUGUCAAACGUGGAGCAAAAGGAUUACUUCCUCGCGCGGUUGUUCUCAUUUACCUGCUACAACGGUCUGUUUAUAACUGUUGAUGUGUGACACUAGCUUUUGCAAAUCUUCAGGUAUAGAAUCACUUCAAAAGCGAUACAAAGUUUAUGCAAGCGGUCAAUGUGGUCAUAUAUUUGUUCAAAAGUUAGCACUCCAAUUGUUCAACGGAGACAGUCAUCAAGCAGAUUUCCGCAUCUUAUCAGAUUGUCGCAAAGGAAAGUUUGGUUGGACUGCUUUGGAGAGGCGUCCCAGAUAAUACUGUUGGAUGAUUGUUUCUUGGAGAAUUUCAGCUUCUCUCUUAUACAAUUUGUAUAAAUGCUAAAGGCCACCUGGUGGAGAAUUAGAAUCUCAUAAACAGAUUCGUGAUGCUUAUUGCUUUCAACUUGCGGAGUUGCGGGAAGCACAAAACUGGAGGUCCUUGAUCAUGAAUGGCAAGGAGUGUCACCAAUAUGUGUAGCCAUUUUAAUCAUGUAAUAUAUGUUUUUAUAUUACUCGUGUAACUAAAACGAUCCUUUUGGUUAACCUACAUUUGUAUCCCAAAUAAAUUUCGUAGUACUUAACUAUAUAUAUCUUUGUCAGC